GUGGGGAAUAUUGGACAAUGGGCGAAAGCCUGAUCCAGCCAUGCCGCGUGUGUGAAGAAGGUCUUCGGAUUGUAAAGCACUUUAAGUUGGGAGGAAGGGCAGUAAGUUAAUACCUUGCUGUUUUGACGUUACCGACAGAAUAAGCACCGGCUAACUUCGUGCCAGCAGCCGCGGUAAUACGAAGGGUGCAAGCGUUAAUCGGAAUUACUGGGCGUAAAGCGCGCGUAGGUGGUUUUGUAAGUUGGAGGUGAAAGCCCCGGGCUCAACCUGGGAACUGCCUCCAAAACUGCAUGACUAGAGUACGGUAGAGGGUAGUGGAAUUUCCUGUGUAGCGGUGAAAUGCGUAGAUAUAGGAAGGAACACCAGUGGCGAAGGCGACCACCUGGACUGAUACUGACACUGAGGUGCGAAAGCGUGGGGAGCAAACAGGAUUAGAAACCCGGGUAGUCC
RNAcentral lists this ribosomal RNA (450 nucleotides) under uncultured bacterium. RNAcentral describes it as "partial 16S ribosomal RNA". It matches the Rfam family "Bacterial small subunit ribosomal RNA", at positions 354 to 796 of the family's 1533-position model. The record is from RNAcentral.